Molecule: long non-coding RNA, 1233 nt
Organism: Triticum aestivum (bread wheat)
Lineage: Eukaryota; Viridiplantae; Streptophyta; Magnoliopsida; Poales; Poaceae
Exons: 2
Source: RefSeq, a predicted model, not a curated record
CACCUGUGACCGCCGCCGCCACUGUUCUCUCGGGAUCCAUCCUGAUCCAGCAGCCGAUCCAGCCAAGCACCAGCUCCACCCAUCAAUCCAACCCGCAGCCAGCCACUCCCUUCCUCGUUUUCAACAUCAGAUCAACCAGAGCCCCGCCACCUCCGGCUAAUCUCCAGUUCCGCUCCACAUCGUCCCCAACUCAGGUCAUGGCUCUGCCCCGCUCACUGUUUCUCCUUCCCUUUUUCUUCUGUUCCCUCUGGUUCCCUCUCACCUCCUUCCCGUCUUCUCAAGGAACCCACAGAAGGUCGCCGCCGGCAUGAACGUCGCCUCCUCAAGCUCUCCGCCUGGGGCCUUCUUCUGCUUCGAUCCAGCUCCGUCCUCCGCGCCAAACAAGGUCUGCAUCGCCGCGCGCCUGCAUCCGCGAGGGAGACGACGUCGAUGCCUCCCUGGUUCCUCUGCAAUGUACGCCCAUCCCCGACCGAUUCUGCAGAGACGCCGCCCGUCUUCUUCGUUCACAGCGAGCACGGCUGCUGUCCUGCUCGCGCACGUCAAGUUCCUCUUCAUCUUGCUGCCAAGUCCGUGUCGCCUCGCCGUUGUACCCCGUCCUCGACCUCACCAGCAGGCCCCACGCCUCCCUCCAUGCCGUCCAGGAACAGCGCUCGCCCGCCUCCAUGCUCGUUUUGGUUCGGGAGAGGAGCUUCCGUCCGCACCAUCCCAAGCCGGACCUCGCCGAAGGAGCAGCAUCGCCUCCCUGACCUUCGGACUGGCCGGAUCCGCCGCGCCUGCGUGGACCUUGCCCCUUGCCCGGAACCGCCGCCUGCAGGUCUCUUCUCGGUCGGGUCCGCUGUUGUCACUGUUUCUCUGUCGAACGAGCAAGCUCGAACCCCGGCGCCAAGUCCAGCCUGCUCGAUCCCCUGCUUCAGGACCGAGACAUCGAACGCUGCCGCCGCACGUUGACCGUCCAGCUUGCCGAGGCCCAGCGCCAGAUCGCAACAUGGCCCAGAUCUGCCAGCUCCCUGUUGGCCCAAUGUGAGCAGCCCAGAUCCACCUAAUUCGGCCCCUAUUCCAGAUUCGGCCCAUGUAGUUUUUUUUAUGUUCUGUGUUUUAGCUAUUUUUCCAGAGGAGAGCAGUUUUUGCAGAGAACCCCUUGCACUUCAUGCAUUUUAAAACUCACAAAUCGUGCAUCAUAUAUAUAAACUUUAUAUAUGAAACUUGCUUAGAAUUUUGUCUAGUUAAAUAAUU